UAAGUAGGUGGAGAGCGUUGUCCGGAUUUACUGGGCGUAAAGAGCGCGCAGGCGGCUGGUCAAGUCCGAUGUGAAAGCUCCCGGCUUAACUGGGAAAUUGCAUCGGAAACUGAUCGGCUGGAAGGUGGGAGAGGGUAGCGGAAUUCCCGGUGUAGUGGUGAAAUGCGUAGAUAUCGGGAGGAACUCCAGUGGCGAAAUCGGCUACCUGGCCCAUUCUUGACGCUGAGGCGCGAAAGCUAGGGGAGCAAACGGG
RNAcentral lists this ribosomal RNA (253 nucleotides) under uncultured bacterium. RNAcentral's name for it is "partial 16S ribosomal RNA". It matches the Rfam family "Bacterial small subunit ribosomal RNA", at positions 524 to 776 of the family's 1533-position model. The record is from RNAcentral.